CAAGUUAUUAAUCUAGGAUUAUUCUUUAUUUACAUUAAAGAUUUAUUUGUGCAAUUCAAAUUAACUUGA
Molecule: transfer RNA, 69 nt
Filed under: Priassus spiniger
Lineage: Eukaryota; Metazoa; Arthropoda; Insecta; Hemiptera; Pentatomidae
Description: tRNA-Val
Source: RNAcentral